RNAcentral lists this ribosomal RNA (409 nucleotides) under bacterium. RNAcentral describes it as "partial 16S ribosomal RNA". It matches the Rfam family "Bacterial small subunit ribosomal RNA", at positions 355 to 776 of the family's 1533-position model. The record is from RNAcentral.
UGGGGAAUAUUGCACAAUGGGCGAAAGCCUGAUGCAGCGACGCCGCGUGAGGGAUGACGGCCUUCGGGUUGUAAACCUCUUUCAGCAGGGACGAAGCGCAAGUGACGGUACCUGCAGAAGAAGCACCGGCUAACUACGUGCCAGCAGCCGCGGUAAUACGUAGGGUGCAAGCGUUGUCCGGAAUUACUGGGCGUAAAGAGUUCGUAGGCGGCUUCUCGCGUCGUUUGUGAAAACCAGCAGCUCAACUGCUGGCUUGCAGGCGAUACGGGCAGACUUGAGUACUGCAGAGGAGACUGGAAUUCCUGGUGUAGCGGUGAAAUGCGCAGAUAUCAGGAGGAACACCGGUGGCGAAGGCGGGUCUCUGGGCAGUAACUGACGCUGAGGAACGAAAGCGUGGGUAGCGAACAGG